CAGCCACACGUAUAUUAACAAAAAACAGAAGGACCCUUGACACAACCUUCAACCCCUGUUACCGAGAAACGAACGGUCUCGCGACUCGUGUCUCGCGUGUUGACUCUAAGAAAGAGCCUCACACCACGCGCGUUAACUGGGACAAUCCGAUGGACGCCAGGAAAACCAACAUAUAAACGCGAAGAAUCCCCACUUCCCGCAAGCACAGGGACAAAAUAGACAAACCUGGAUCACUCCUAGAAAUCCUUUUCUCCUAACACAAAACCUCGCCCAGCCAAGAGUCAUGGAGACUCAAGACAACCCAGGAGUCACCGGAAGCCACCAUACGCAAACAAUCCCUACCUCCCAUGAGCACAAGCACAUACCAGACCGCCCAUCUAUUUCUCCUAGAGAUCCUUCUCUCCUAUCAUAAAACCCCGCUCGCCCUGCAUCCACGGAUCUGGAGGAGAGGCCGUCGUUCAAGGACACUGAGGAGGCCAGCAACAGUCGGUCAUAGUGGACAAACCUAUGCCGCGGUGGUGGCCACCUGGAGCUGACCUCAUCAGUAGCCUCCCAGACGGGGUCCUCGGCGAGAUAAUCUAUCUCCUCCCCAUCAAAGAAGGUGCCUGCACCCGUAUUCUCGUGCAUCGGUGGCGCGACCUCUGGUUCGUCGUGCCGCUCAAACUUGAUUGCUGCCAAUUGUGCGGUACUGUCUCAAAGAUCCGAGACCUUACGCCACAUAUCGUAAAGGCUCACCCGGGGCCCGUCCCCCGCUUCUACGUUGCGGCCGACUAGGUCGUAGACCAGCCUGUAACAGCCCGAGAGCAACAUUUUACAUUUAAACCCUUGUUGGACCUGUUUAUAAUUUAUUUAAUGUUGCAUGACAUUUACAUUUGCAUCCAUGCCAUGUCAUAUCUAGUUUUGUUUCACAUGAGUUUAAAAUUUACACUUCAACUUGUUGUUUGAAAUAUUGUUGUUAGAAUUUGCUAGAAGAUUCAAAUAGGAAUCUUCCAUCCUUUUCUUUCGGUGUUUUAAAUUCCUUUUCCAUAUUUUACAAGUGACAUUUAAAUGGGUUUUGUUUUCAACCUUUAAUCCCAUUUGAAUACUUCAAAAUAUUAGUGCCAUAUUUGAAGUCUACUAUUUCUCAGCUCUUCAAAAUGGUAUUUGAAAUUUGAAUCAAAAACUAUUUGCAAAAGAGGAAACAAAAAAAGGAAAAAGGAAAAAAGAAAAAGAAAACCUACCUUUCUUACCUCAGGCCCAAGCCGGCCCAGCAGCCGCCUCGGCCCAGUCUCCCGCGUGCCCCGCAGCCCGGCUCAGCCCCGCCGCCCCGCGCCGCGCCCGCGUUCUGCCUCCCUGUGUCAAAGACGUAAACCCAUAAAUGCGCCUUGUCUCAGAGUCAUCUUCUUCCUCUCUGCUUUUCUUCCUCAUGGCCGGUGGAGCCGCCGCGCGCCACGUCGUCGACGACAGCGACAGCCGCUCCGCUCCACCUUUAUAAGCUGCGUCGCGGCUCCUUCCUUCCCCAGCGCAAGGCAAACCCUAGUUAGGGUUUCCUCUUCCCCUUCUCUGCGCCGCCGCCGUCGCCUGUUCCAAGCCGUGGACGUCGCCGCGUCGCGCCGCCGCCUCUGACCGAACCGCGACGAACCGACCGCGUCACCGGCUGCGCCUCGUCUUCCUCUACGCGCGCGUGCAAGCAAUUGGGUUGGGAUCGACCACAGCGCCGCCUACUUCAUCUUCUUCCUCUCCGGCGGCCGCCACUUCUCCGGCCAAAUUCCGACGAGUCAUUCACCGGAUCUUCGUCAGCUUCCUCCUACCACUUCGGGGUGAGCUCCUCUUCCUCCUGCUCCUUUCCGCGCUCGUUUUGGUGCUCCGUAGCGUCUAGCCAUGUGCGCACGCUCCGGCUUGCUGCUGGCGAGCCGCUGCUCGUCGUCGCGCCGCCGUUCUUGCUAAGGACCGUGUGGUGGCCUUCAUGCCAUCUAGCUCUACUCCGCGCGCCGCCUCUCUUUCCGCCGUUAGUUCGUCCUCCGUGCGCCGUGUGGUCACCACCGGCGCCCGCAAGCUGCUAGCUUGGGUUGGUUCAAAAGGACGUGAGCCCUUGAUCUGUUGAGAUUCGAGUUCUUACCGCAGUGGCUUGCUUCCUCAGCGUUGGAUCUGACUGGCGCGGGUUCGAGUUCCCCUCGCGUGAGGGUAAAACCCCCAAUUUUUGUGCUUUAAUCGGCCACUGACAAGUGGGCCCCAUGGACCCACCUGCCAGUCGCCUGGUGCACCGUUGCGCCCGGUGGACCGAGUCCAUGCACCGGGUUUGUUUAGGAUUUCUUUUUGGAUUUUGUUUAAAUUCCAGAAAUGUGUUAAUCUUGUUUAAUUCAUAGUAAAUGCAUGCUAAAUCCCAAUUGGGCAAACCAUAUAUGUUUUGGAAUCAGAAAAAUGUAAGGAAUUUAACUGUUCUGUUAGUUUUCCAUUUUGACGUUUCGAAUUUCAAAUCUGUCCCAGAUUUGAAAUUCAAACAUAUGAACUUGUUUAGUCUCUAUUUUAGAACUGGUAGCUCAUCUGUAAUUAAUGUAAACACCAAAGUUGAUCCUUGUAACUUAUAGAACACAGUAGCAUACUUGGUUAGGCCCUAUGGGUCCUUUAAAGCUGUUGUUUAUUUUAGUUAAGUCACCUAAUGGUUAACUUUGUUGCUAAUGGAAUCAAUUCAUUGCAUAUUGUUGCCUCAUGUUGUCACAUGCCAUUUCAUGUUGUAUUGUGCAUUGCACCUAUGGAUUGUUACUUAUUUUUGUAUUCGGUGAUUUGGUUCUUUACAAUAGCGACUCCGACUUACUCCGUCGACGAUCCGAGUUCCCACACUUCUUCGGAUCCCCUCUCUCGGUGCCCAGCGACCGAGAAUCCAG
This 2864-nucleotide long non-coding RNA is filed under the name Brachypodium distachyon (stiff brome). RNAcentral's name for it is "long non-coding RNA (BDIS_LNC003335)". The record is from RNAcentral. Lineage: Eukaryota; Viridiplantae; Streptophyta; Magnoliopsida; Poales; Poaceae.